UCUACUAUUUUACCCUACGUUGCACUAUUAACCGCGUUGCGAACCGUUUCCUUUCGCCUCACCGGAGAGACACUAUAACGUACACGUUACUGUACAUACGCUUCCGCAAGCAUUAAAUGCGCCCCAGCGCAUUUAACGUAAUAUUCCACGCUAUUCGACACACCGAGUGUUUGCUGUUUGGAAUCUUCUCCGACGCCUCCGCUUCCUGAA
Molecule: long non-coding RNA, 210 nt
Filed under: Ananas comosus (pineapple)
Lineage: Eukaryota; Viridiplantae; Streptophyta; Magnoliopsida; Poales; Bromeliaceae
Description: long non-coding RNA (ACOM_LNC033421)
Source: RNAcentral